Molecule: long non-coding RNA, 329 nt
Filed under: Mytilus galloprovincialis (Mediterranean mussel)
Lineage: Eukaryota; Metazoa; Mollusca; Bivalvia; Mytilida; Mytilidae
Source: RNAcentral
GGGAGGUUAUGAUACGAGCCAUUAUUUGAACCCUGAAAUUGCAUAAAAACAAAAAAGUGAAAUUAUUCAAGCCUAUCGAUAAAUCAACAGGUUAUAGGUCAUUGAAUGAUUUAGGUCAAGUUUGGUUUUAAUUGGCCCAGUUGUUUUUGAGGAGAGGAUUUUGGUAAAAGAUUACAAAAUUUACGAAAAAUUGUGAAACAAUUACUUUAAAAGACAAUAGCUUCCUUAUGGGUCAAUUUGCAAUUUUGGUCAUGUUGACUUAAUUGUAAAUACUACUUUGCUACCGUUUUUGCUGUUUACAGUUUAUCUUUAUCAAUGAUAAUAUUACU